Molecule: ribosomal RNA, 164 nt
Filed under: Hordeum cordobense
Lineage: Eukaryota; Viridiplantae; Streptophyta; Magnoliopsida; Poales; Poaceae
Description: 5.8S ribosomal RNA
Rfam family: 5.8S ribosomal RNA
About the family: 5.8S ribosomal RNA (5.8S rRNA) is a component of the large subunit of the eukaryotic ribosome. It is transcribed by RNA polymerase I as part of the 45S precursor that also contains 18S and 28S rRNA.
Source: RNAcentral
AACACGACUCUCGGCAACGGAUAUCUCGGCUCUCGCAUCGAUGAAGAACGUAGCAAAAUGCGAUACCUGGUGUGAAUUGCAGAAUCCCGCGAACCAUCGAGUUUUUGAACGCAAGUUGCGCCCGAAGCCUUCUGGACGAGGGCACGUCUGCCUGGGCGUCACGC